UACGUAGGGAGCAAGCGUUGUCCGGAAUUAUUGGGCGUAAAGCGCGUGUAGGCGGCGUGACAAGUCGGGUGUGAAAGCCCUCAGCUCAACUGAGGAAGUGCGCCCGAAACUGUCGUGCUUGAGUGCCGGAGAGGGUGGCGGAAUUCCCCAAGUAGAGGUGAAAUUCGUAGAUAUGGGGAGGAACACCGGUGGCGAAGGCGGCCACCUGGACGGUAACUGACGCUGAGACGCGAAAGCUAGGGGAGCAAACGGG
RNAcentral lists this ribosomal RNA (253 nucleotides) under uncultured bacterium. Its description in RNAcentral is "partial 16S ribosomal RNA". It matches the Rfam family "Bacterial small subunit ribosomal RNA", at positions 524 to 776 of the family's 1533-position model. The record is from RNAcentral.